GAUGAACGCUGGCGGCGUGCCUAAUACAUGCAAGUCGAGCGAACGUACGAGGAGCUUGCUUCUCUGACGUUAGCGGCGGACGGGUGAGUAACACGUGGAUAACCUACCUAUCAGACUGGGAUAACUUCGGGAAACCGGAGCUAAUACCGGAUAAUAUUUUGAACCGCAUGGUUCAAUAGUGAAAGACGGUCUUGCUGUCACUUAUAGAUGGAUCCGCGCUGCAUUAGCUAGUUGGUAAGGUAACGGCUUACCAAGGCAACGAUGCGUAGCCGACCUGAGAGGGUGAUCGGCCACACUGGAACUGAGACACGGUCCAGACUCCUAAGGGAGGCAGCAGUAGGGAAUCGUCCGCAAUGGGCGAAAGCCUGACGGAGCAACGCCGCGUGAGUGAUGAAGGUCUUCGGAUCGUAAAACUCUGUUAUUAGGGAAGAACAGAUGUGUAAGUAACUGUGCACAUCUUGACGGUACCUAAUCAGAAAGCCACGGCUAACUACGUG
RNAcentral lists this ribosomal RNA (497 nucleotides) under uncultured bacterium. RNAcentral describes it as "partial 16S ribosomal RNA". It matches the Rfam family "Bacterial small subunit ribosomal RNA", at positions 28 to 507 of the family's 1533-position model. The record is from RNAcentral.